CUUGAAACACGGACCAAGGAGUUUAGCGUGUGCGCGAGUCAUUGGGUGGAAAACCUAAAGGCGGAAUGAAAGUAAAGGAAACUCGCUUUCUGAGGGAGGAUGGGUUACCUGCCUUUACAGGCGGUGCUCCGCACUCCCGGGGCGUCUCUUUCUCAUUACGAGUGGAGGCGCACCUAUAGCGUACACGCUGAUACCCGAAAGAUGGUGAACUAUGCCUGGCCAGGACGAAGCCAGGGGAAACCCUGGUGGAGGUCCGCAGCGAUUCUGACGUGCAAAUCGAUCGUCGGAGCUUGGUAUAGGGGCGAAAGACCAAUCGAACCAUCUAGUAGCUGGUUCCCUCUGAAGUUUCCCUCAGGAUAGCUUGCGCUCGGUUGAGACGAGUCUCAUCCGGUAGAGCGAAUGAUUAGAGGCCUUGGGGUCGAAACGACCUCAACCUAUUCUCAAACUCCAAAUAGAUGAGAUCCCCGGCUUGCUUGAAAGUGAAGCCGGGACUCGGAUCAGAGUGCCAAGUGGGCCAAUUUUGGUAAGCAGAACUGGCGCU
Molecule: ribosomal RNA, 541 nt
Filed under: Nabicula subcoleoptrata
Lineage: Eukaryota; Metazoa; Arthropoda; Insecta; Hemiptera; Nabidae
Description: eukaryotic LSU rRNA
Rfam family: Eukaryotic large subunit ribosomal RNA
Source: RNAcentral